Molecule: ribosomal RNA, 492 nt
Filed under: uncultured bacterium
Lineage: Bacteria
Description: partial 16S ribosomal RNA
Rfam family: Bacterial small subunit ribosomal RNA
Source: RNAcentral
GAUGAACGCUAGCUACAGGCUUAACACAUGCAAGUCGAGGGGAAACGGCAUCGAAAGCUUGCUUUUGAUGGGCGUCGACCGGCGCACGGGUGAGUAACGCGUAUCCAACCUGCCCAUCACUUGGGAAUAACCUUGCGAAAGUAAGACUAAUGCCCAAUGACAUCCCACGAAGGCAUCCGAAUGGGAUUAAAGAUUUAUCGGUGAUGGAUGGGGAUGCGUCUGAUUAGCUUGUUGGCGGGGUGACGGCCCAUCAAGGCAACGAUCAGUAGGGGUUCUGAGAGGAAGGUCCCCCACAUUGGAACUGAGACACGGUCCAAACUCCUACGGGAGGCAGCAGUGAGGAAUAUUGGUCAAUGGGCGAGAGCCUGAACCAGCCAAGUAGCGUGCAGGAUGACGGCCCUAUGGGUUGUAAACUGCUUUUAUAAGGGAAUAAAGUGGGUCACGUGUGACUUUUUGCAUGUACCUUAUGAAUAAGGACCGGCUAAUUCCGUG